This is a long non-coding RNA of Balaenoptera ricei (Rice's whale), 1016 nucleotides long. RefSeq lists it as uncharacterized. The record is from RefSeq and is a predicted model, not a curated record. The transcript has 2 exons. NCBI's taxonomy places the organism in Eukaryota, Metazoa, Chordata, Mammalia, Artiodactyla, Balaenopteridae.
AUGCGACUUGCUCCGUUAGGCAGCCCUGAGCUGCGAAGGGGUUCCCGGGCGCCGGAGGAGACUCCCGCUCCCUUGGGCCGCGCGUUUGCGCGAUCCGCGGCCGCCGCCGGCCGUGCAGGAAAACCGAGAUCUCCCUGGCGCUCCUUCCCCGCACCGGUUACUGGAAAGCAGGGGAGGCGGGGCCUGGUCGGCUGAGGGUGCGGCCGAACCCGGGAGUGUUAACUUUGGCUCAGGGCGGCUUUGGUUUUCACCCUGGAUUCGAGGAGCGAGGAGGAGGAAAGAAAGGAGAGUUUCUUGUAUGAGGGAUGCAGAGGCCAAAAAGCGGACCCUCUCUCUCUUGAAAAGCAAAUCAUUUUGCCAACGCCAGGAAAAAAUUUUCGGGUGUUAGCGGGCGAAAGACUUUUUUUCCCCUUCCAAUGGUAUCACUUGCGUUUUGUCUCCUUGGACUGGAAGAGGGGAUUUGUGAAGGUGACUGGAUCUCCAGACUCUUCCCUUCCCCUCUCCUGCAGUGUACUCAAGAGAAAAGGAACAUCAGAAUCGAGGAACUUACUCAGAUCCCUGAUCAUUCACCUGAGGAUUUUUCUGUCGACAGUGGGAAAGCAUGAUGGAGUCAUCAUAUGACAGGAUUUUAGUAGACAUUUUUUUUCCUGCUUAGCAGUCUUUCCCUAAUCUGAUCAUUUCCUUUGGAGAACUAUCCUUUCUUCACUCUCAGACCAUAUGGCUGGGGCAGGACUCCAGAGGAAAACAUAUUUGAGUUAAUCCUCUGCCUUAGGUUAGACUUACUAAGAAGGGUGAUCUCUCUUUUCCAAUGGAUUUAAGUCUGGAAAAAUGGAAGCCUGAAGCCAUCUUCCCACUCACAGAUUCUGAGAAAGAAGGCAACGUGGAAGAAAGCAGAUUCAAAAAUGGAGAUUUGGCCUGGAGACAUGUUUGAUGCCCUGAAUCCAUUGUGGACUAGAUAAUUCUGGAAAUUUCAGCUAAGUUACUCAAUAAAUUCUUUCACGUAUUUAUUGCUUAAA